AGAGUUUGAUCAUGGCUCAGGAUGAACGCUGGCGGUGUGCCUAAUACAUGCAAGUCGAACGGGAUCUUCGGAUCUAGUGGCGAACGGGUGAGUAACACGUUGGUACCUACCCCUAAGUGGGGAAUAACUGCCCGAAAGGGUGGCUAAUACCGCAUAAUCCCGCAAGGGUAAAGCAGUAAUGCGCUUAGGGAGGGGCCUGCGUCUGAUUAGCUAGUUGGUAGGGUAAUGGCCUACCAAGGCGACGAUCAGUAGCUGGAUCGAGAGGUUGACCAGCCACACUGGGACUGAGAUACGGCCCAGACUCCUACGGGAGGCAGCAGUAAGGAAUCUUCCACAAUGGACGAAAGUCUGAUGGAGCAACACCGCGUGCAGGAUGACGGCCUUCGGGUUGUAAACUGCUUUUAUAUGGGAAGAUUAUGACGGUACCAUAUGAAUAAGGACCGGCUAACUACGUGCCAGCAGCCGCGGUAAUACGUAGGGUCCAAGCGUUAUCCGGAAUCACUGGGCGUAAAGCGUGCGUAGGUGGCGUGUUAAGUGUGAUGUUAAAUCGUGGGGCUCAACCCUGUCGGUGCAUCACAUACUGGCAUGCUAGAGGACAGCAGAGGCAAGUGGAAUUUGUAGUGUAGCAGUGAAAUGCGUAGAUAUUACAAGGAACACCAAUGGCGAAGGCGCUUGCUGGGCUACUCCUGACACUGAGGUACGAAAGCGUGGGGAGCGAACAGGAUUAGAUACCCUGGUAGUCC
RNAcentral lists this ribosomal RNA (743 nucleotides) under uncultured bacterium. RNAcentral describes it as "bacterial SSU rRNA". It matches the Rfam family "Bacterial small subunit ribosomal RNA", at positions 8 to 796 of the family's 1533-position model. The record is from RNAcentral.